ACUCCUACGGGAGGCAGCAGUGGGGAAUUGUUCGCAAUGGGCGCAAGCCUGACGACGCAACGCCGCGUGGAGGAUGAAGGUCUUCGGAUUGUAAACUCCUGUUGCCCGGGACGAAAAGCUCCGACCUAACACGUUGGAGUCUGACGGUACCGGGUGAGGAAGCCCCGGCUAACUCUGUGCCAGCAGCCGCGGUAAU
This 196-nucleotide ribosomal RNA is filed under the name uncultured bacterium. RNAcentral describes it as "partial 16S ribosomal RNA". It matches the Rfam family "Bacterial small subunit ribosomal RNA", at positions 335 to 524 of the family's 1533-position model. The record is from RNAcentral.